This is a long non-coding RNA of Pezoporus flaviventris, 745 nucleotides long. RefSeq lists it as uncharacterized. The transcript has 3 exons. The record is from RefSeq and is a predicted model, not a curated record. NCBI's taxonomy places the organism in Eukaryota, Metazoa, Chordata, Aves, Psittaciformes, Psittacidae.
UAAAUUGGAUACUGCUUGAGAGGAUUUUUUAUUUCACUGUUAAGUGUAAUGUGAAGUAAUUUCUUUUCAAGAGAUGUUCUUGGAAAGACAGCAUGUCUCUCCACAGCCGAAUUUAUUGCCCUGAAAAAAGAACAUGGGUGCGCAGAGGCAAAGGGAAGGCCACAGAAGGAGGUUGCCUUGGCAUCCAUGAGAGAUUUUCAAAAUGUUACAUUGACUUACCAGAAAAUCCCUGAGGUAUUUCAUUUUCUUACAAUAUCUUGGGAAAGAGUGUUCAUUCUGAAUUCAUGUCACUAGAGAAUUUAUGGUUAAAUAGACAAGAUGUUGAAGACCUGAAUGUGGAACAAUUGAAGAAAAUUCAAAAUGGUGACACUGUAACAACCAGCCUCACUUGCAAACUGAUUGUGCAUUGGUCCAUGAGGAAUACAAGGAACAUCACUUUGAAUUACAUAGACAGAGUGGCCAGGUGAAAGUUCCUCACUCCUGCAACUACAACUUGUGUUUCUUCAGAGCUCUAGGUUUCCCUCUCAAAGUGGUUCAUGGUGUAUCUGAUGGUUGUUCCUUUUAGAAAAUAUCUAGAAAGGUCUAUAUAUAUAAGAAUACAAAUGUAUGCAUAUAAGAAGUGAAAAGCCCAAUUUUCUCCUGCAGCCACACUAUGAUUGAAUGUACAAAUACUGCUGAAAAUAGGAAAAAAUAGUCUGACAGACAAGACACAUAAUUCAGAGAUACAGGAUGACAUACUUUGGCA